This 1485-nucleotide long non-coding RNA is filed under the name Capsicum annuum. RNAcentral describes it as "long non-coding RNA (CANN_LNC007607)". The record is from RNAcentral. Lineage: Eukaryota; Viridiplantae; Streptophyta; Magnoliopsida; Solanales; Solanaceae.
CCACUUUGAACUAUUCAAAUCUAACUCAAUCCGCUCAUUUGACACCCUAUUAAUAUCAUUUUACUUUGUUGUAACUUAUAAUUUUAGUUCCUCCCACCUUAUUAUAAUCAUUAGAAAGGGUUAGUUGGGACGUGAAGUUUCAAGAGUGUUAUUUGAUUAAUUAAUGUCUUCUUUCUUCUGAUGGACAGUUUCUACUUAAUUUAAGCACCAAUUAUUGUUUAUUUGUUCUAAUUGGAGUAAUUAAUUAACUGGCAUCUUUAGAGUGAACUGUUAAUGGAGAAGUGAGGUCCGACUCGUUCUCAUAGCCAUAUAAGUAAUAAAGAGUUGAUUCUCCAAUUUAUAAAAGAAAAAAAAAACUAAAGGAAAAAAAGACUGUUGAUGGAGAGUCGCAUUAACCACUGAAUAAAACAUGAUAAAUGACUAAUUAAAUGACAUUAAUAACAAAGAGAUUACGCCCAACAUCACCCAAUUGUUGGUUACAGAAUGGCUAGUGAGGGCUCGUUGACCUUCCCUCCGGGAGUAUUGUUCUUUUGUAACUUUCUCAAACAAGUUGGUGUAUGGUCUGCCAUUGAGCUCUUUCCAGCUGUUCAUUGAGCCACGUCCAUCAUCUUUCCGUAUGUCACGAUCUGAUAUGCCCACGUGAAAUUGGCUAUUUUUACCCUAUACUGAAAGUCCCCACGUUUUAGGGACUUAAACUUUAUCUUUCAGGUAAUGAAGAAGUGAGGAUAGCCAAUGACCAUAUAAAAGAUCCAAUUUCUCUUCCCAGAGCCAACGUGGAACUCAACACCCCAGAACAUCCAGGAUUGGACAUUUGGAGUAUGGAUAACAUAUGAUGUGCGCCAAACAUAAGGCAAAUAAUGAAUUGAGAAGGGCCUAGACCUUGGGUCUAACUUGACUAGGCAGCUACUUCAAGAGGUAGAAAAUGAAGAAUCUGCAGCUGGAAACACUCCGUCACAUGAUAGGAACAUACCUACCUGGAAGAAGUUGGGACGUGCAGUUUUAAGAGUGGUAUUCUAUUAAUUAAUGUCUUCUUUCUUCUCAUGAGCAGUUUUUACUUAAUUUUAUUUUUAAAAAAAACAAUUAUCGUUUAUUUGUUCUGAUUGGAGUAACGGGCAUCUUUAGAGUUGACAAUAAAUGGACACACACUAUUAGGUGACACGUGGGGAUUGAAGCCAGGUCAAACAUGACUCAGCAAAGAUAAUACCUGUCUCAACAUUAGAGCUCGUACAGUAAAGUGGUUCCCGUCCUUCCAGGGGCAGAACCAACAUUAUUGGCAGUUUGGCAUGCCAAGCUUCAGAGAUGCAAAACCGGGUACAUAUAUAGCAGUGGCCGGUCGAUAUAAGCCCGAAAGUGCAUCUGUUGGGGAUCCACUUCGGCAGUUACUUAGUCAAAACAUAACUGCUGUAGUGUGUAGAUAUGUGGCAUGAAGAGGAGCGAAGAUACGGAAAAAUGUUAUCUGCAAUUUGGCUUUAAAUAGACCUCUUU